Non-coding RNA from Triticum aestivum (bread wheat), 130 nucleotides. The record is from Rfam. Lineage: Eukaryota; Viridiplantae; Streptophyta; Magnoliopsida; Poales; Poaceae.
AAAAUACUCCCUCCGAUCCAUAUUACGUGUCUUAGAUUUGUCUAAAUAUGGAUGUAUCUAACACUAAAACAUGUCACAUUCGUAUCUAGACAAAUCUAAGACAAGUAAUAUAAAUCGGAGGGAGUACAAG